UACGUAGGGGGCUAGCGUUGUCCGGAAUCAUUGGGCGUAAAGCGCGUGUAGGCGGUCCGGUAAGUCCGCUGUGAAAGUCGGGGGCUCAACCCUCGAAUGCCGGUGGAUACUGUCGGGCUAGAGUGCGGAAGAGGCGAGUGGAAUUCCUGGUGUAGCGGUGAAAUGCGCAGAUAUCAGGAGGAACACCGGUGGCGAAGGCGGUUCUCUGGGCCUUACCUGACGCUGAGGAGCGAAAGCGUGGGGAGCAAACAGG
RNAcentral lists this ribosomal RNA (253 nucleotides) under uncultured bacterium. Its description in RNAcentral is "partial 16S ribosomal RNA". It matches the Rfam family "Bacterial small subunit ribosomal RNA", at positions 524 to 776 of the family's 1533-position model. The record is from RNAcentral.